GACAGAGGAUGCAAGCGUUAUCCGGAAUGAUUGGGCGUAAAGCGUCUGUAGGUGGCUUUUUAAGUCUGCCGUCAAAUCCCAGGGCUUAACCCUGGACAGGCGGUGGAAACUACCAAGCUGGAGUACGGUAGGGGCAGAGGGAAUUUCCGGUGGAGCGGUGAAAUGCGUAGAGAUCGGAAAGAACAUCGGUGGCGAAAGCGCUCUACUGGACCGCAACUGACACUCAGGGACGAAAGCUAGGGGAGCGAAUGGG
Molecule: ribosomal RNA, 253 nt
Filed under: uncultured bacterium
Lineage: Bacteria
Description: partial 16S ribosomal RNA
Rfam family: Bacterial small subunit ribosomal RNA
Source: RNAcentral